This 72-nucleotide transfer RNA is filed under the name Sphaerodactylus townsendi. RNAcentral describes it as "tRNA-Pro". It matches the Rfam family "tRNA". From Rfam's summary of the family: Transfer RNA (tRNA) molecules are approximately 80 nucleotides in length. Their secondary structure includes four short double-helical elements and three loops (D, anti-codon, and T loops). The record is from RNAcentral. Lineage: Eukaryota; Metazoa; Chordata; Lepidosauria; Squamata; Sphaerodactylidae.
GGGGCUGUGGCUUAGGGGCAGAGUAUCUGAUUGGGGUGCAGAAGAUCCCAGAUUCAAUCCCUGGCAUCUCCA